This 466-nucleotide ribosomal RNA is filed under the name uncultured bacterium. RNAcentral describes it as "bacterial SSU rRNA". It matches the Rfam family "Bacterial small subunit ribosomal RNA", at positions 330 to 793 of the family's 1533-position model. The record is from RNAcentral.
GCCAGACUCCUACGGGAGGCAGCAGUGAGGAAUAUUGGUCAAUGGCCGCAGGGCUGAACCAGCCAAGUCGCGUGAGGGAUGACGGUCCUACGGAUUGUAAACCUCUUUUGCCGGGGAGCAAGCGUGCGUUCGUGAACGCACGUCGAGAGUACCCGGAGAAAAAGCAUCGGCUAACUCCGUGCCAGCAGCCGCGGUAAUACGGAGGAUGCGAGCGUUAUCCGGAUUUAUUGGGUUUAAAGGGUGCGUAGGCGGGAUGCCAAGUCAGCGGUAAAAAUGCGGUGCUCAACGCCGUCGAGCCGUUGAAACUGGCGUUCUUGAGUGGGCGAGAAGUAUGCGGAAUGCGUGGUGUAGCGGUGAAAUGCAUAGAUAUCGCGCAGAACUCCGAUUGCGAAGGCAGCAUGCCGGCUCCACACUGACGCUGAGGCACGAAAGCGUGGGUAUCGAACAGGAUUAGAUACCCGAGUAU